Molecule: ribosomal RNA, 412 nt
Filed under: uncultured eukaryote
Lineage: Eukaryota
Description: SSU rRNA
Rfam family: Eukaryotic small subunit ribosomal RNA
Source: RNAcentral
CAAUAGCGUAUAUUAAAGUUGUUGCAGUUAAAAGCUCGUAGUUGGAUUUCGGAGUGGGCCAGUUGGUCCGCCGCAAGGUGUGUUACUGACUGGUUUGCUCUUCUUCGCAAAGACUGCGUGUGCUCUUGAGUGAGUGUGCGUAGAAUUUACGACGUUUACUUUGAAAAAUUAGAGUGUUCAAAGCAGGCUAUUGCUUGAAUACAUGAGCAUGGAAUAAUGGAAUAGGACUUUUGGUCCCAUUUUGUUGGUUUCUAGGCCGAAGUAAUGAUUAAGAGGGACAAUUGGGGCAUUCAUAUUCCAAUGUCAGAGGUGAAAUUCUUGGAUUAUCGGAAGAUGAACUUCUGCGAAAGCAUCUGCCAAGGAUGUUUUCAUUGAUCAAGAACGAAAGUUAGGGGAUCGAAGACGAUCAGAU